This is a long non-coding RNA of Lolium rigidum, 215 nucleotides long. RefSeq lists it as uncharacterized. The record is from RefSeq and is a predicted model, not a curated record. The transcript is spliced from 3 exons. NCBI's taxonomy places the organism in Eukaryota, Viridiplantae, Streptophyta, Magnoliopsida, Poales, Poaceae.
UGGAGCUUCUAGUGCUUCUUUCUGGUAUUCUCCCGGACCCAAAACUCGAAACUUCAGCAUUCUCGAUUACGCGUAAUACUUCAUCAAUCGUUACCAUGAUCGCCUUUGGUUUGAGCAGUUCUGUCAGCAUACGUGUAUCAAACGAGUUGGGUGCUGGUCGUCCAAAAGAAGCGCGCAAAGUUAUAUUAAUAGCUUUGUUUAUAGCUACCUCUGAA